AAGUAGAUAGAGUAAGGUGCCUUCGGGAACCGUGAGACAGGUGCUGCAUGGCUGUCGUCAGCUCGUGUUGUGAAAUGUUGGGUUAAGUCCCGCAACGAGCGCAACCCUUAUCCUUUGUUGCCAGCGGUCCGGCCGGGAACUCAAAGGAAACUGCCAGUGAUAAACUGGAGGAAGGGGGGGAUGACGUCAAGUCAUCAUGGCCCUUACGACCAGGGCUACACACGUGCUACAAUGGCGCAUACAAAGAGAAGCGACCUCGCGAGAGCAAGCGGACCUCAUAAAGUGCGUCGUAGUCCGGAUUGGAGUCUGCAACUCGACUCCAUGAAGUCGGAAUCGCUAGUAAUCGUGGAUCAGAAUGCCACGGUGAAUACGUUCCCGGGUCUGUACAACACCGA
RNAcentral lists this ribosomal RNA (395 nucleotides) under Citrobacter youngae. RNAcentral's name for it is "bacterial SSU rRNA". It matches the Rfam family "Bacterial small subunit ribosomal RNA", at positions 998 to 1387 of the family's 1533-position model. The record is from RNAcentral. Lineage: Bacteria; Pseudomonadati; Pseudomonadota; Gammaproteobacteria; Enterobacterales; Enterobacteriaceae.